GAAACAGUACUUGUGUUUGAUGUGUUGGGAUGUAUUGUUUCAGUACCUGACAGAACAUGUGAUUCAACAAGAGUCCUGUAGUGAAGACAACAGGCUGUGGACUAAGCCAGAGGGUGUAAUAAUUCAUGUGCUGACACCGAGUGCUUUGAGCAAAGUUGUUUCCAGUCACUUGGAAUUGCAACAGUGUCCACAUCUCCAGUUUCCUACAGAUGCUGCAAAAUGCAUCGCUCCAAGAUGUCACAGAUUCAGGCAGAAAAUGUGCAGCUGACAAAUGAGUUGGUCAGACUCAUGCAAGAGGAGCAGACAAUUUCUGGAUUAUUACAGCUUCCAAGAGCUUCACUGCAAGUGUAAUUUCCUGCAAUAGGAGUAUUGCUGUUGACUUAGUUGGAGACUAGGGGCUAGAGUGAGGUCCUUGGAGGUAGCUGCUGAUCUCUAGGCAUUUGUGUAUUGCUUUCACACACUCCCACAAGAAUCCUGGCUGGUGAAGGAGCCACAGCAUUGUUAAACUCGAGGCAAUGCCAGCCACGUGUUUUAAGAGUGGGUCACAG
Long non-coding RNA from Dryobates pubescens (Downy woodpecker), 548 nucleotides. RefSeq lists it as uncharacterized. NCBI's taxonomy places the organism in Eukaryota, Metazoa, Chordata, Aves, Piciformes, Picidae. The record is from RefSeq and is a predicted model, not a curated record. The transcript is spliced from 4 exons.